CGUAACACGUUUCCUUGUCACUCCUUCGUCUCGUCUAUAAUAGAGAACUGGACGGAGAACUGAUAAGGGCUUGUGGGUAA
This 80-nucleotide microRNA precursor is filed under the name Lottia gigantea (owl limpet). RNAcentral's name for it is "microRNA mir-184". It matches the Rfam family "mir-184 microRNA precursor family". The record is from Rfam by way of RNAcentral. Lineage: Eukaryota; Metazoa; Mollusca; Gastropoda; Lottiidae.